This 484-nucleotide ribosomal RNA is filed under the name uncultured bacterium. Its description in RNAcentral is "bacterial SSU rRNA". It matches the Rfam family "Bacterial small subunit ribosomal RNA", at positions 30 to 509 of the family's 1533-position model. The record is from RNAcentral.
AUUGAACGCUGGCGGCAUGCCUUACACAUGCAAGUCGAACGGCAGCACGGGGCAACCUGGUGGCGAGUGGCGAACGGGUGAGUAAUGCAUCGGAACGUGCCAUUGAGUGGGGGAUAACGUAGCGAAAGUUGCGCUAAUACCGCAUAUUCUGUGAGCAGGAAAGCAGGGGACCGCAAGGCCUUGCGCUCUUUGAGCGGCCGAUGUCAGAUUAGCUAGUUGGUGAGGUAACGGCUUACCAAGGCGACGAUCUGUAGCGGGUCUGAGAGGAUGAUCAGCCACACUGGAACUGAGACACGGUCCAGACUCCUACGGGAGGCAGCAGUAGGGAAUAUUGGACAAUGGGGGCAACCCUGAUCCAGCCAUGCCGCGUGAGUGAAGAAGGCCCUCGGGUUGUAAAGCUCUUUUGUCCGGAAAGAAAAGCAAUCGGUUAAUACCCGGUUGUCCUGACGGUACCGGAAGAAUAAGCACCGGCUAACUUCGUGCC